RNAcentral lists this ribosomal RNA (538 nucleotides) under uncultured bacterium. RNAcentral describes it as "bacterial SSU rRNA". It matches the Rfam family "Bacterial small subunit ribosomal RNA", at positions 28 to 611 of the family's 1533-position model. The record is from RNAcentral.
GAUGAACGCUGGCGGUCUGCUUAACACAUGCAAGUCGAACGAACUCUUCGGAGUGAGUGGCGGACGGGUGAGUAACGCGUGAGAAUCUGCCUGUGGGUCGGGGACAACCACUGGAAACGGUGGCUAAUACCGGAUGAGCCGAAAGGUAAAAAAUUUAUUGCCCACAGAUGAGCUCGCGCCUGAUUAGCUAGUUGGUAAGGUAAAAGCGUACCAAGGCGACGAUCAGUAGCUGGUCUGAGAGGAUGAGCAGCCACACUGGGACUGAGACACGGCCCAGACUCCUACGGGAGGCAGCAGUGGGGAAUUUUCCGCAAUGGGCGAAAGCCUGACGGAGCAAGACCGCGUGGGGGAGGAAGGUUUUUGGAUCGUAAACCCCUUUUGUCAAGGAAGAAGUUCUGACGGUACUUGACGAAUAAGCCUCGGCUAACUCCGUGCCAGCAGCCGCGGUAAUACGGAGGAGGCAAGCGUUAUCCGGAAUGAUUGGGCGUAAAGCGUCUGUAGGUGGCCAGCUAAGUCUGCUGUUAAAGAUCACAGCUCA